RNAcentral lists this long non-coding RNA (349 nucleotides) under Citrus sinensis (sweet orange). RNAcentral's name for it is "long non-coding RNA (CSIN_LNC000706)". Lineage: Eukaryota; Viridiplantae; Streptophyta; Magnoliopsida; Sapindales; Rutaceae. The record is from RNAcentral.
GGCACGGCACGGCACGAGCACGUCUCGGUAGAGCACGCGGCACGGCACGGCACGUACAUGGGCCGUGCCGGGCUUAGAUUUUAGGCAUGCGGGCCUUAAAAGCACGGCACGAUUAAAGAUGGGCCAAAGCACGGCACGAUUAAAGAUGGGCCAAAGCACGGCACGCGAAAAAGCACGCAAUAAGCACGUUUCAUUUUUUAAUGAAAGUAAACUUAAAAUUUUAUGAUUUUAUAAAUAACUUGAAAUUGAAUCUUUUAAUAUCUUUUAUUGGCUCAAGUUUUUUAAAUUUAUUUAAUUCUUAGUUUCAAAAAAAUUAUAAUUGAUUUAUGUUUAUAAUUUAUUAAAUAAA